Molecule: long non-coding RNA, 703 nt
Organism: Ostrinia nubilalis (European corn borer)
Lineage: Eukaryota; Metazoa; Arthropoda; Insecta; Lepidoptera; Crambidae
Exons: 3
Source: RefSeq, a predicted model, not a curated record
AAUUGCAAAAAAAAUUAAAUUAAUUGACGGAAAAGUUGUCAAUUCGAUAGAAGAUAGACGUUUUGGAUUAUGUGUUUCAUCAAUUCGGUUAUUUUUAAAUGAUGAACUUGUAAUCCUUAUUGUUAUGUUCUUGGGGAUGUAGAAAAUCUAAAUCCUCAUGAUUUCUCAGACGUAGGUAGUUCUUAAAUUCCUGUAACAUUAAUGUUAGUCUCACAAAAUGGGUUGUGUGUGUUGUUCUCUCAGUUCAUUCGUUUCAAUCGUCUUAGAUGCUUUAGAAAGAAUCUCUCUAUGCACAGUAUGUGCCAUGUUAACUUGUUGUCUUCUGUUCACAAUCAUAACUGUAAUGGUCAUGGGAAUCGGUAUCGGGUACCAUUACUGUUUUGUAUCCAAUUCUGUGGAAGCUAUGGCAAAGGCUGCCAAGGCAGCUGGCGCUUUGCGGUCGGGCCCAGAAAGAACACCGGGCCAUGUGAUGCGAUCCGUAGACAAGGCCAUCAAGCGAGGGUUCGCUCACCGCCUGUCUCGCCGCGACAUUGAUGGCCCCACCCCUCAAAAUAACACCAACGAAGGUCUCCUCCAAGAAAUUGCCAUCACAAAUCGAACAAACCUUACGAAUUUCAUAUCAGAUCGAACAAAUUUUACGAAUUUCAUAUCAAAAUGACAGUUGUAUGCAUUGGGAUAUAAAUUAAACAUGUUGUAAAAAUGC